This 253-nucleotide ribosomal RNA is filed under the name uncultured bacterium. RNAcentral describes it as "partial 16S ribosomal RNA". It matches the Rfam family "Bacterial small subunit ribosomal RNA", at positions 524 to 776 of the family's 1533-position model. The record is from RNAcentral.
GACGAACCGUGCGAACGUUGUUCGGAAUCACUGGGCUUAAAGGGCGCGUAGGCGGGCCCGCAAGUCAGGGGUGAAAUCCCACGGCUCAACCGUGGAAGUGCCUUUGAUACUGCGGGUCUCGAGGGAGGUAGGGGCGUGCGGAACUUCCGGUGGAGCGGUGAAAUGCGUAGAUAUCGGAAGGAACACCGGUGGCGAAAGCGGCGCGCUGGACCGCUUCUGACGCUGAGGCGCGAAAGCUAGGGUAGCGAACGGG